AUUGAACGCUGGCGGCAUGCCUUACACAUGCAAGUCGAACGGCAGCACGGGUGCUUGCACCUGGUGGCGAGUGGCGAACGGGUGAGUAAUACAUCGGAACGUACCUUAUCGUGGGGGAUAACGCAGCGAAAGCUGUGCUAAUACCGCAUACGCCCUGAGGGGGAAAGCGGGGGAUCGCAAGACCUCGCGCGAUUAGAGCGGCCGAUGCCUGAUUAGCUAGUUGGUGGGGUAAAAGCCCACCAAGGCGACGAUCAGUAGCUGGUCUGAGAGGACGAUCAGCCACACGUGGACUGAGACACGGCCCGGACUCCUACGGGAGGCAGCAGUGGGGAAUUUUGGACAAUGGGGGCAACCCUGAUCCAGCAAUGCCGCGUGAGUGAAGAAGGCCUUCGGGUUGUAAGGCUCUUUUGUCAGGGAAGAAACACCGGCUCUAACACAGUCCGGGAAUGACGGUACCUGAAGAAUAAGCACCGGCUAACUACGUGCCAGCAGCCGCCGUAA
This 501-nucleotide ribosomal RNA is filed under the name uncultured bacterium. RNAcentral's name for it is "partial 16S ribosomal RNA". It matches the Rfam family "Bacterial small subunit ribosomal RNA", at positions 29 to 523 of the family's 1533-position model. The record is from RNAcentral.